This 2198-nucleotide ribosomal RNA is filed under the name metagenome. RNAcentral's name for it is "bacterial LSU rRNA". It matches the Rfam family "Bacterial large subunit ribosomal RNA", at positions 730 to 2925 of the family's 2925-position model. The record is from RNAcentral.
CUAUCCAUGGCCAGGUUGAAGGUGUGGUAACACACACUGGAGGACCGAACCGACUAGUGUUGCAAAAUUAGCGGAUGAGCUGUGGAUAGGGGUGAAAGGCUAAACAAAUCUGGAGAUAGCUGGUUCUCCCCGAAAACUAUUGAGGUAGUGCCUCGUGUAUGACUCCAGGGGGUAGAGCACUGUUAUGGCUAGGGGGACAUGGCGUCUUACCAAACCAUGGCAAACUCCGAAUACUUGGAAGUUUGAGCACGGGAGACAGAGCACCGGGUGCUAACGUCCGGACUCAAAAGGGAAACAACCCAGACCGCCGGCUAAGGUCCCUAAUAUUGACUAAGUGGAAAACGAAGUGGGAAGGCUAAGACAGUCAGGAAGUUGGCUUAGAAGCAGCCAUCCUUCAAAGAAAGCGUAAUAGCUCACUGAUCGAGUCUUCCUGCGCGGAAGAUGUAACGGGGCUAAGUCAAUAACCGAAGCCGCGGAUUCACGACUUGUCGUGAGUGGUAGGGGAGCGUUCUGUAAGCCUGCGAAGGCGGUUCGCAAGGACUGCUGGAGGUAUCAGAAGUGCGAAUGCUGACAUGAGUAACGUUAAAGCAGGUGAAAAGCCUGCUCGCCGUAAGCCCAAGGUUUCCUGCUCUACGUUCAUCGGAGCAGGGUGAGUCGGCCCCUAAGGCGAGGCUGAGAAGCGUAGCUGAUGGGAACAAGGUUAAUAUUCCUUGACCGCCGUUGAGUGCGAAGGGGGGACGGAGUGUUGAAGAUCAUCCGGGUGUUGGAUGUCCCGGUUUGUGAACGUAGGAGGCCGGCAGGCAAAUCCGCCGGCGUAUCUCCGAGGUGAAGCAUCGAGGUCCGUAUGGACCGAAGUGAUCGGAUGGGCUCCCAGGAAAAGCCUCUAAGCUCCAGCUCAACGGGACCGUACCGCAAACCGACACUGGUGGGCGAGCUGAAUAUGCUCAGGCGCUUGAGAGAACUCAGGAGAAGGAACUCGGCAAAUUGACACCGUAACUUCGGGAUAAGGUGUGCCUCGGUAGCGUGAAGGAAGAAACAUCCGGAGCGUGAAGAGGUCUCAGAGAAUCGGUGGCUGCGACUGUUUACUAAAAACACAGCACUCUGCAAAGACGAAAGUCGACGUAUAGGGUGUGAUGCCUGCCCGGUGCUGGAAGAUUAAUUGAUGGGGUGCAAGCUCCUGAUCGAAGUCCCAGUAAACGGCGGCCGUAACUAUAACGGUCCUAAGGUAGCGAAAUUCCUUGUCGGGCAAGUUCCGACCUGCACGAAUGGCAUAACGAUGGCCACACUGUCUCCUCCUGAGACUCAGUGAAGUUGAAGUGUUUGUGAUGAUGCAAUCUCCCCGCGGCUAGACGGAAAGACCCCAUGAACCUUUACUGUAGCUUUGCAUUGGACUUUGAACCGAUCUGUGUAGGAUAGGUGGGAGGCUGUGAAACCGGGACGCCAGUACCGGUGGAGCCGUCCUUGAAAUACCACCCUGAUUUGUUUGAGGUUCUAACCUAGGUCGGUAAUCCCGAUCGGGGACCGUGCAUGGUAGGCAGUUUGACUGGGGCGGUCUCCUCCUAAAGGGUAACGGAGGAGUGCGAAGGUACGCUAGGUACGGUCGGAAAUCGUGCUGAUAGUGCAAUGGCAAAAGCGUGCUUGACUGCGAGACCCACAAGUCGAGCAGAUACGAAAGUAGGUCAUAGUGAUCCGGUGGCUCUGUAUGGAAGGGCCAUCGCUCAACGGAUAAAAGGUACUCUGGGGAUAACAGGCUGAUACCGCCCAAGAGUUCAUAUCGACGGCGGUGUUUGGCACCUCGAUGUCGGCUCAUCUCAUCCUGGGGCUGUAGCCGGUCCCAAGGGUAUGGCUGUUCGCCAUUUAAAGAGGUACGUGAGCUGGGUUUAAAACGUCGUGAGACAGUUUUGUCCCUAUCUGCCGUGGGCGCUGGAAGAUUGACGGGGGCUGCUCCUAGUACGAGAGGACCGGAGUGGACUCACCUCUGGUGUACCGGUUGUCACGCCAGUGGCAUUGCCGGGUAGCUAUGUGGGGAAGAGAUAACCGCUGAAAGCAUCUAAGCGGGAAACUUGCCUGAAGAUAAGUCUUCCUGGAGGCUUGACCUCCCUAAAGAGUCGUUCGAGACCAGGACGUUGAUAGGUUGGGUGUGUAAGCGCUGUGAGGCGUUGAGCUAACCAAUACUAAUUGCUCGUGCAGCUUGAUCC